GUGAGUAAAGUGGCGUACGGGUGAGUAACACGUGGAUCAUCUACCUCGUAGUGGGGAAUAACCCUGGGAAACCGGGGCUAAUACCGCAUAAGCUGUCUUUGUGUAAACAAAGCCAGGAAAGCAGCAAUGCGCUGUGAGAGGAGUCCGCGGCUGAUUAGCUAGAUGGCGGGGUAAUGGCCCACCAUGGCGAAGAUCGGUAGCCGGCCUGAGAGGGCACACGGCCACACUGGCACUGAAAUACGGGCCAGACUCCUACGGGAGGCAGCAGUGGGGAAUCUUGCACAAUGGAGGAAACUCUGAUGCAGCGACGCCGCGUGAGCGAUGAAGCCCUUCGGGGUGUAAAGCUCUUUCGACGGGAACGAUAAUGACGGUACCCGAAGAAGAAGCUGCGGCUAACUACGUGCCAGCAGCCGCGGUAAUACGUAGGCAGCGAGCGUUGUUCGGAAUUACUGGGCGUAAAGAGUACGUAGGCGGUGCUCUAAGUUUGGUGUGAAAUCUCCCGGCUCAACUGGGAGGGUGCGCCGAAAACUGGAGUGCUCGAGGGCGGGAGAGGUAAGCGGAAUUCCUGGUGUAGCGGUGAAAUGCGUAGAUAUCAGGAGGAACACCUGUGGUGUAGACAGCUUACUGGACCGCUUCUGACGCUGAGGUACGAAAGCGUGGGUAGCAAACAGGAUUAGAUACCCUGGUAGUCCACGCCCUAACGAUGCAUACUUGGUGUGAGCGAUUCAUUUCGUUCGUGCCGGAGCUAACGCGU
RNAcentral lists this ribosomal RNA (754 nucleotides) under uncultured bacterium. RNAcentral describes it as "bacterial SSU rRNA". It matches the Rfam family "Bacterial small subunit ribosomal RNA", at positions 86 to 860 of the family's 1533-position model. The record is from RNAcentral.